CGCGGACGAUUUUACCCU
RNAcentral lists this small nuclear RNA (18 nucleotides) under Arabidopsis thaliana (thale cress). Its description in RNAcentral is "snRNA_18776". Lineage: Eukaryota; Viridiplantae; Streptophyta; Magnoliopsida; Brassicales; Brassicaceae. The record is from RNAcentral.